GACGAACGCUGGCGGCGUGCUUAACACAUGCAAGUCGAACGGAAAGGCCCUGCUCUUGUGGGGUGCUCGAGUGGCGAACGGGUGAGUAACACGUGAGUAACCUGCACUUGACUUUGGGAUAACUUCAGGAAACUGGGGCUAAUACCGGAUAGGAGCUCCUGCUGCAUGGUGGGGGUUGGAAAGUUUCGGCGGUUGGGGAUGGACUCGCGGCUUAUGAGCUUGUUGGUGGGGUAGUGGCUUACCAAGGGUUUGACGGGUAGCCGGCCUGAGAGGGUGACCGGCCACAUUAGGACUGAGAUACGGCCCAGACGCCUACGGGACGCAGCAGUGGGGAAUAUUGCACAAUGGGCGGAAGCCUGAUGUAGCGACGCCGCGUGCGGGAUGCUGGGCUUCGGGUUGUAAACCGCUUUCGCCUGUGACGAAGCGUGAGUGACGGUAAUGGGUAAAGAAGCACCGGCUAACUACGUG
RNAcentral lists this ribosomal RNA (468 nucleotides) under uncultured bacterium. RNAcentral describes it as "partial 16S ribosomal RNA". It matches the Rfam family "Bacterial small subunit ribosomal RNA", at positions 28 to 507 of the family's 1533-position model. The record is from RNAcentral.